ACACAUGCAAGUCGAGGGGCAGCAUUCGGGUAGCAAUACCUGAGAUGGCGACCGGCGCACGGGUGCGUAACGCGUAUGCAACCUACCCAUAACAGGGGCAUAACACUGAGAAAUUGGUACUAAUUCCCCAUAACAUUCGAAGAGGCAUCUUUUCGGGUUGAAAACUCCGGUGGUUAUGGAUGGGCAUGCGUUGUAUUAGCUGGUUGGUGAGGUAACGGCUCACCAAGGCGACGAUACAUAGGGGGACUGAGAGGUUAACCCCCCACAUUGGUACUGAGACACGGACCAAACUCCUACGGGAGGCAGCAGUGAGGAAUAUUGGUCAAUGGACGCAAGUCUGAACCAGCCAUGCCGCGUGCAGGAAGACGGCUCUAUGAGUUGUAAACUGCUUUUGUACGAGGGUAAACUCAGAUACGUGUAUCUGACUGAAAGUAUCGUACGAAUAAGGAUCGGCUAACUCCGUGCCAGCAGCCGCGGUAAUACGGAGGAUUCAAGCGUUAUCCGGAUUUAUUGGGUUUAAAGGGUGCGUAGGCGGUCUGAUAAGUUAGAGGUGAAAUCCCGGGGCUUAACUCCGGAAUUGCCUCUGAUACUGUUGGGCUAGAGAGUAGUUGCGGUAGGCGGAAUGUAUGGUGUAGCGGUGAAAUGCUUAGAGAUCAUACAGAACACCGAUUGCGAAGGCAGCUUACCAAACUAUAUCUGACGUUGAGGCACGAAAGCGUGGG
This 722-nucleotide ribosomal RNA is filed under the name uncultured bacterium. RNAcentral describes it as "bacterial SSU rRNA". It matches the Rfam family "Bacterial small subunit ribosomal RNA", at positions 51 to 765 of the family's 1533-position model. The record is from RNAcentral.